Molecule: long non-coding RNA, 402 nt
Organism: Harmonia axyridis
Lineage: Eukaryota; Metazoa; Arthropoda; Insecta; Coleoptera; Coccinellidae
Exons: 2
Source: RefSeq, a predicted model, not a curated record
UUUUAUUAAAGGAUCCUGUAAUGAAGGAUCCUCUAUCGUGGACGUUAAAAGUGAACUAUUAGCGAUUCAAGUUCAUCUCCAAGCCACCUAUCGGAAGAAACUGUAAUAUCGGCUUAAGUGUUCGAGGAGUUAUAAGAGUUGUGUUCUAGAGUUUCAUCAUUUAUCUAAUAUUUAUUUCAACAUUAUGGAUAGUGAUUACUGCCCUAAAAUAACGAAAUCAAAGGUGUUUUGUUGUGUUUAUGGAUGCAACAGUAGAGCAAACAGAGAACCCGUUUCAUUUAAUAAGUGGAAAUAGAAUAACUGGAAUUUUAUUUCAAAAAAUAUAUUAAUUUUUCAAUUAUUCAUUACAAAUAUGGUGUAACAUUUUCUCAAUAUAGUUUUUUUUCAAAGAAGUUAACAUAU